RNAcentral lists this long non-coding RNA (202 nucleotides) under Brassica rapa (field mustard). Its description in RNAcentral is "long non-coding RNA (BRAP_LNC005858)". Lineage: Eukaryota; Viridiplantae; Streptophyta; Magnoliopsida; Brassicales; Brassicaceae. The record is from RNAcentral.
UGGUAGUCCAGUGGCGCUUGAGGGAUUAAACCCAAUACGGUGAACCCUGGUUCGAACCCCGCUGGCCACACGGAUAUGGGCUAUUGCUUUCGGCUCAUUUGAAUGCCCAGGAGAGGGUCUAUCCGUGGGCUGUACCUCCACCCGGGGGUUAGGUCUGUGUCUUUAAUAGACCCGGGUUUAACCCUUUUCAGUUCAAAAAAAA